GAUGAACGCUAGCUACAGGCUUAACACAUGCAAGUCGAGGGGAAACGACGUCGAAAGCUUGCUUUUGAUGGGCGUCGACCGGCGCACGGGUGAGUAACGCGUAUCCAACCUGCCCAUCACUUGGGAAUAACCUUGCGAAAGUAAGACUAAUACCCAAUGAUAUCCCACGAAGGCAUCGGAAUGGGAUUAAAGAUUUAUCGGUGAUGGAUGGGGAUGCGUCUGAUUAGCUUGUUGGCGGGGUAACGGCCCACCAAGGCAACGAUCAGUAGGGAUUCUGAGAGGAAGGUCCCCCACAUUGGAACUGAGACACGGUCCAAACUCCUACGGGAGGCAGCAGUGAGGAAUAUUGGUCAAUGGGCGAGAGCCUGAACCAGCCAAGUAGCGUGCAGGAAGACGGCCCUAUGGGUUGUAAACUGCUUUUAGAAGGGAAUAAAGUGGGUCACGUGUGACUUUUUGCAUGUACCUUAUGAAUAAGGACCGGCUAAUUCCGUG
This 492-nucleotide ribosomal RNA is filed under the name uncultured bacterium. Its description in RNAcentral is "partial 16S ribosomal RNA". It matches the Rfam family "Bacterial small subunit ribosomal RNA", at positions 28 to 507 of the family's 1533-position model. The record is from RNAcentral.